This 71-nucleotide non-coding RNA is filed under the name Sus scrofa (pig). The record is from RNAcentral. Lineage: Eukaryota; Metazoa; Chordata; Mammalia; Artiodactyla; Suidae.
CCUGGGUGAUGUGCUUCUCGGGUGUCCCCCUGUGCGCGGGGGGGUGGGGGAAGAGGGUUGGGCACGGCGGG